Molecule: long non-coding RNA, 425 nt
Organism: Triticum aestivum (bread wheat)
Lineage: Eukaryota; Viridiplantae; Streptophyta; Magnoliopsida; Poales; Poaceae
Exons: 2
Source: RefSeq, a predicted model, not a curated record
AUUUGUUUUCCUAUCUUACAUCCAUGCAUUCACAUAUUAGAGGAUAAAUAUGUUGCAGGCUCUUAUCUACAUGCAUGAAUGUUAAAUCUGUAUCCAAUGGUAAAGUUGGCUUUAUCAGGAAAAAGGAUCAUGGAAUAACAUGCGAGGUGUAUAUUGUUGUUAGCAUCUGCUUAUUUUGAUGCAUUCUAUUUGCAUACAUAUACCAAGUUUUUCGUCAAAUACAUAUAUUGCAGGACAAUGGAUGAUCGAGUAGCACUCAAGAUGGCAAGGUGGUUGAGAUUUACGAACUGUUGUAUCUUGAGGACUCAUGAUGCAGUUGUAUGUUGAUACAUGUAGAUUUAUGACUAUUGCCAUAUCAUCCAGUGUAUCUAUCUAUCUAUGUCUCCUUAACUUCAACAUAUUUACCUUGAAUAAUUAUGGUUUAA